RNAcentral lists this ribosomal RNA (86 nucleotides) under Nonomuraea aridisoli. RNAcentral's name for it is "Nonomuraea sp. KC333 partial 23S ribosomal RNA". The record is from RNAcentral. Lineage: Bacteria; Bacillati; Actinomycetota; Actinomycetes; Streptosporangiales; Streptosporangiaceae.
AGUGGACGCGAGCAUCUUUGUGGCCAAGUUUUUUAGGGCACACGGUGGAUGCCUUGGCAUCAGGAGCCGAUGAAGGACGUGGGAGG